Molecule: unclassified non-coding RNA, 599 nt
Filed under: Paraconiothyrium brasiliense
Lineage: Eukaryota; Fungi; Ascomycota; Dothideomycetes; Pleosporales; Didymosphaeriaceae
Description: sequence contains ITS1, 5.8S rRNA gene and ITS2
Rfam family: 5.8S ribosomal RNA (bases 239-392)
Source: RNAcentral
UUUCCGUAGGUGAACCUGCGGAAGGAUCAUUAUCUAUUCCAUGAGGUGCGGUCGCGGCCCUCGGCGGGAGCAACAGCUACCGUCGGGCGGUAGAGGUAACACUUUCACGCGCCGCAUGUCUGAAUCCUUUUUUUACGAGCACCUUUCGUUCUCCUUCGGCGGGGCAACCUGCCGUUGGAACCUAUCAAAACCUUUUUUUGCAUCUAGCAUUACCUGUUCUGAUACAAACAAUCGUUACAACUUUCAACAAUGGAUCUCUUGGCUCUGGCAUCGAUGAAGAACGCAGCGAAAUGCGAUAAGUAGUGUGAAUUGCAGAAUUCAGUGAAUCAUCGAAUCUUUGAACGCACAUUGCGCCCCUUGGUAUUCCAUGGGGCAUGCCUGUUCGAGCGUCAUCUACACCCUCAAGCUCUGCUUGGUGUUGGGCGUCUGUCCCGCCUCUGCGCGCGGACUCGCCCCAAAUUCAUUGGCAGCGGUCCUUGCCUCCUCUCGCGCAGCACAUUGCGCUUCUCGAGGUGCGCGGCCCGCGUCCACGAAGCAACAUUACCGUCUUUGACCUCGGAUCAGGUAGGGAUACCCGCUGAACUUAAGCAUAUCAAUAA